GAUGAACGCUGGCGGCGUGCUUAACACAUGCAAGUCGAACGAAGCACUUUAAUUGAUUUCUUCGGAAUGAAGUUUUUGUGACUGAGUGGCGGACGGGUGAGUAACGCGUGGGUAACCUGCCUCAUACAGGGGGAUAACAGUUGGAAACGACUGCUAAUACCGCAUAAGCGCACAGGAUUGCAUGAUCCAGUGUGAAAAACUCCGGUGGUAUGAGAUGGACCCGCGUCUGAUUAGCCAGUUGGCGGGGUAACGGCCCACCAAAGCGACGAUCAGUAGCCGACCUGAGAGGGUGACCGGCCACAUUGGGACUGAGACACGGCCCAAACUCCUACGGGAGGCAGCAGUGGGGAAUAUUGCACAAUGGGGGAAACCCUGAUGCAGCGACGCCGCGUGAGCGAAGAAGUAUUUCGGUAUGUAAAGCUCUAUCAGCAGGGAAGAAGAAUGACGGUA
RNAcentral lists this ribosomal RNA (450 nucleotides) under uncultured bacterium. RNAcentral describes it as "bacterial SSU rRNA". It matches the Rfam family "Bacterial small subunit ribosomal RNA", at positions 28 to 477 of the family's 1533-position model. The record is from RNAcentral.